This is a long non-coding RNA of Salvia miltiorrhiza (redroot sage), 647 nucleotides long. RefSeq lists it as uncharacterized. The transcript is spliced from 3 exons. Lineage: Eukaryota; Viridiplantae; Streptophyta; Magnoliopsida; Lamiales; Lamiaceae. The record is from RefSeq and is a predicted model, not a curated record.
UAAGGCUUGAGAAUCCAAAAAACCGCAGGCAUCUGUGCAGUCGACGAAGGACCGAUCUGCACGCCGGCGACAAACCAUCGGUCACAGGGUGUUCUCCGGCGGCGGUUUCGUCGAUCUGUGCAAGGGCUGUGCAAGGAGGCGGCGGCGGAGGAAUUCUGAUUAAUCCAGGACCAGGAGGCGGCGGCGUUCAGGAGUCGGCGGCGGCGGCGGCGUCCGAGUAUUCCAAGGAGGAGGCGGUGGAACCUUUGGGCGUUUCGAAAGUGAGUUAAAUAUGCCUCGUGGGAAGAAAUCAUCUGCUAGAAUGGUUAAUAAAGAGCGUCCAAAUGGUAUAAACUAUGUUGAAACAAGUUUUGUUCCAUCAUAUGAUUACAUAUAAUGAGGGGUGCAUCUACAAGAUACUGUGCAACUAUGAUUGGAUGGACAAAUAACUACGUCAAGGAUGAUGUAAUGAGGGGUGCAUCUACAUAUUAUCAAAAUUUCUUGUCCGUGCCAGAUGAGAAGAUGGAAAAGAUAUUUGGAUGACUUCUGGUUUGAAUAAUAAACUAUGUUGAAACAAGUUUUGUUCCAUCAUAUGAUUACAUAUGAUGUACAAGGGGUUAAACAAUUUUAUUAUCAUUUAGAUCUAUUUUUGAAUUUGUUUAUGAAGC